RNAcentral lists this ribosomal RNA (474 nucleotides) under uncultured bacterium. RNAcentral describes it as "partial 16S ribosomal RNA". It matches the Rfam family "Bacterial small subunit ribosomal RNA", at positions 28 to 507 of the family's 1533-position model. The record is from RNAcentral.
GACGAACGCUGGCGGCGUGCUUAACACAUGCAGGUCGAGCGGUAAGGCUCCUUCGGGAGUACACGAGCGGCGAACGGGUGAGUAACACGUGAGUAAUCUGCCCUUCACUUCGGGAUAACCACCGGAAACGGUGGCUAAUACCGAAUACGACCAGUCUUCGCAUGAGGUGCUGGUGGAAAGUCUUUUCGGUGAAGGAUGUGCUCGCGGCCUAUCAGCUUGUUGGUGGGGUAAUGGCCUACCAAGGCUUCGACGGGUAGCCGGCCUGAGAGGGUGACCGGCCACACUGGGACUGAGACACGGCCCAGACUCCUACGGGAGGCAGCAGUGGGGAAUAUUGGACAAUGGGCGAAAGCCUGAUCCAGCAACGCCGCGUGAGGGAUGACGGCCUUCGGGUUGUAAACCUCGUUCAGUACCGACGAAGCGCCCUGUCGGGUGGUGACGGUAGGUACAGAAGAAGGACCGGCCAACUACGUG